GUGCUCGCUUUGGCAGCACAUACACUAGAGCUGGAAGGAUACAGAGGUAGCGCGGCCCUGCGCAAGGACGCCAUGCAAAUUCGUGAAGAGUUCCACGUUUUA
Phyllostomus discolor (pale spear-nosed bat) is the source of this 102-nucleotide small nuclear RNA. Lineage: Eukaryota; Metazoa; Chordata; Mammalia; Chiroptera; Phyllostomidae. The record is from RefSeq and is a predicted model, not a curated record.